AACAAUGCUGACCAUGUUAAAUGGUUAGCAAUUGGAAUGAGAACGAUGUAAAGCCACUAUCGAGUAGCAAAUGGAGGGCAAGUCUGGUGCCAGCAGCCGCGGUAAUUCCAGCUCCAUUAGCGUAUAUUAAAGUUGCUGCGGUUAAAAAGCUCGUAGUUGGAUUUUGGGAAUGUGAAGGAUCGGCCAGCCGGAUUGGCGUGUGCCAUUCGUCCAUUUCUUUCCUUUCCGUUGCGGCGCCGGCUCAUUGAUUUGGGCCGGGCUUGUUCGCGCGGAAUCGUUUACUUUGAAAAAAAGGGAGCGUUCAAAGCAGGCCGCCUUUCGGCCGUUGAACAUUCUAGCAUGGGAUAAUGAAAGAAGACUUCUAGUCAAUUUUGUUGGUUUUCAGACCAGAAGUAAUGAUUAAAAGAAGCAAUUGGGGAUCUUCGUAUUCAGUUGUCAGAGGUGAAAUUCUUGGAUUAUCGGAAGACGAACAUCUGCGAAAGCAUUGAUCAAGCGUGUUUUCAUUAAUCAAGAACGAAAGUUGGGGGAUCGAAGAUGAUCAGAUACCGUCGUAGUCCCAACCAUAAACGAUGCCGACCAGAAAUGCGGAGACGAUAAAAAAUAUGUCUCCCCGCGCAUCUUGUGAGAAAUCAUUGAGUUUUUAGGUUCCGGGGGGAGUAUGGUCGCAAGACUGAAACUUAAAGGAAUUGACGGAAGGGCACCACCAGGAGUGGAGCUUGCGGCUUAAUUUGACACAACACGGGAAAACUUACCAGGUCCAGACACAAGAAGGAUUGACAGGUUGAGAGCCCUUUCUUGAUUUUGUGGGUGGUGGUGCAUGGCCGUUCUUAGUUGGUGGAGCGAUCUGUCUGGUUAAUUCCGUUAACGAACGAGACCUCAACCUGCUAAAUAGUUACGCUGACCGUCUGAUGUGCGGAGAAGCGGCGGGUGUUCACUUUGUCUAGCGACGGGUGACGACUGCUCGUGGAUGCGCUGAUGCGUUGGCGGAUGUAACUUCUUAGAGGGACUAUUCGUAUCCAGCGAAUGGAAGUUUGAGGCAAUAACAGGUCUGAAAUGCCCUUAGAUGUCCUGGGCCGCACGCGUGCUACACUGAAUGGUUCAACGAGUUUAUUCACCUUGUUCGAGAGGACAGGGUAAUCUUUUGAAUGCCAUUCGUGCUUGGGAUAGAUCAUUGCAAUUUUCGAUCUUAAACGAGGAAUUCCUAGUAGGCUCGAGUCAUCAGCUCGAACCGAUUACGUCCCUGCCCUUUGUACACACCGCCCGUCGCUCCUACCGAUGGAUGUAACGGUGAGAAUUCGGGAUCUUAGUGUUUUUUCUGGGGCAACUCGGAAGGCAUAGAGAAAACUUAUUCAAACCUUUUCAU
This 1363-nucleotide ribosomal RNA is filed under the name metagenome. RNAcentral's name for it is "SSU rRNA". It matches the Rfam family "Eukaryotic small subunit ribosomal RNA", at positions 477 to 1772 of the family's 1831-position model. The record is from RNAcentral.